Molecule: ribosomal RNA, 227 nt
Filed under: uncultured bacterium
Lineage: Bacteria
Description: partial 16S ribosomal RNA
Rfam family: Bacterial small subunit ribosomal RNA
Source: RNAcentral
ACCCACGGCGAACGGCUGCGUAACACGUUGGUACGUCCCCCGAACUCAGGGAUAUCCCUCCGAAAGGAGGAGUAAUACCGGAUGCCCUCGCAAGAGGAAAGAUUUAUCGGUUCGGGAGCGGCCUGCGGCCUAUCAGGUAGUUGGUGAGGUAACGGCUCACCAAGCCUAUGACGGGUAGCGUGAUUUGAGAGAAUGAUCAGCCAGAAUGGAACUGAGACACGGUCCAU